This 27-nucleotide non-coding RNA is filed under the name Homo sapiens (human). The record is from RNAcentral. Lineage: Eukaryota; Metazoa; Chordata; Mammalia; Primates; Hominidae.
UGUGAUACUCUGAUCACCGUAGGGAGC